ACAGCAGCCGCCGCGGUAAGACAGAGGAUGCAAGCGUUAUCCGGAAUGAUUGGGCGUAAAGGGCUCGCAGGCGGUUUCUUAAGUCUGAUGUGAAAGCCCCCGGCUCAACCGGGGAGGGUCAUUGGAAACUGGGAAACUUGAGUGCAGAAGAGGAGAGUGGAAUUCCACGUGUAGCGGUGAAAUGCGUAGAGAUGUGGAGGAACACCAGUGGCGAAGGCGACUCUCUGGUCUGUAACUGACGCUGAGGAGCGAAAGCGUGGGGAGCGAACAGGAUUAGAUACCCCAGUAGUCCCUGUCUCUUAUAC
This 305-nucleotide ribosomal RNA is filed under the name uncultured bacterium. RNAcentral describes it as "partial 16S ribosomal RNA". It matches the Rfam family "Bacterial small subunit ribosomal RNA", at positions 508 to 807 of the family's 1533-position model. The record is from RNAcentral.